RNAcentral lists this ribosomal RNA (361 nucleotides) under uncultured bacterium. RNAcentral's name for it is "bacterial SSU rRNA". It matches the Rfam family "Bacterial small subunit ribosomal RNA", at positions 533 to 896 of the family's 1533-position model. The record is from RNAcentral.
UGCAAGCGUUAUCCGGAUUCACUGGGUUUAAAGGGUGCGUAGGCGGAUAGGGAAGUCCGUGGUGAAAUCCUGCAGCUUAACUGCAGAACUGCCGUGGAUACUCUCUAUCUUGAAUAUCGUGGAGGUUAGCGGAAUAUGUCAUGUAGCGGUGAAAUGCUUAGAUAUGACAUAGAACACCCAUUGCGAAGGCAGCUAACUACGCGAUCAUUGACGCUGAUGCACGAAAGCGUGGGGAUCAAACAGGAUUAGAUACCCUGGUAGUCCACGCCCUAAACGAUGAUUACUCGACAUUGGUGAUACACAGUCAGUGUCUGAGCGAAAGCAUUAAGUAAUCCACCUGGGAAGUACGAUCGCAAGAUUG